GGUUAAGCGACUAAGCGUACACGGUGGAUGCCCUGGCAGUCAGAGGCGAUGAAGGGCGUGCUAAUCUGCGAUAAGCGCCGGUAAGGUGAUAUGAACCGUUAUAACCGGCGAUACCCGAAUGGGGAAACCCAGUGUGACUCGUCACACUAUCAUUAACUGAAUCCAUAGGUUAAUGAGGCGAACCGGGGGAACUGAAACAUCUAAGUACCCCGAGGAAAAGAAAUCAACCGAGAUUCCCCCAGUAGCGGCGAGCGAACGGGGAGGAGCCCAGAGCCUGAAUCAGCAUGUGUGUUAGUGGAAGCGUCUGGAAAGGCGCGCGAUACAGGGUGACAGCCCCGUACACAAAAGCGCAUGUGUUGUGAGCUCGAUGAGUAGGGCGGGACACGUGGUAUCCUGUCUGAAUAUGGGGGGACCAUCCUCCAAGGCUAAAUACUCCUGACUGACCGAUAGUGAACCAGUACCGUGAGGGAAAGGCGAAAAGAACCCCGGCGAGGGGAGUGAAAAAGAACCUGAAACCGUGUACGUACAAGCAGUGGGAGCACAGGUUUACCUGUGUGACUGCGUACCUUUUGUAUAAUGGGUCAGCGACUUAUAUUCUGUAGCAAGGUUAACCGAAUAGGGGAGCCGGAGGGAAACCGAGUCUUAAU
RNAcentral lists this ribosomal RNA (647 nucleotides) under Salmonella enterica. RNAcentral's name for it is "partial 23S ribosomal RNA". It matches the Rfam family "Bacterial large subunit ribosomal RNA", at positions 1 to 688 of the family's 2925-position model. Lineage: Bacteria; Pseudomonadati; Pseudomonadota; Gammaproteobacteria; Enterobacterales; Enterobacteriaceae. The record is from RNAcentral.